This 441-nucleotide ribosomal RNA is filed under the name uncultured bacterium. RNAcentral's name for it is "partial 16S ribosomal RNA". It matches the Rfam family "Bacterial small subunit ribosomal RNA", at positions 338 to 795 of the family's 1533-position model. The record is from RNAcentral.
CCUACGGGUGGCAGCAGUGGGGGAUAUUGCACAAUGGGGGGAACCCUGAUGCAGCGACGCCGCGUGGGUGAAGGAGCGUUUCGGCGCGUAAAGCCCUAUCGGCAGGGAAGAAGGAGGACGGUACCCACAGAGGAAGCACCGGCUAACUCCGUGCCAGCAGCCGCGGUAAUACGGGGGGUGCAAGCGUUGUCCGGAAUCAUUGGGCGUAAAGAGUUCGUAGGUGGCACGUUAAGUCUGGUGUUAAAGGCGGAAGCUCAACUUCCGUAGGGCACUGGAUACUGGCGAGCUUGAAUGCGGUAGAGGUAAAGGGAAUUCCUGGUGUAGCGGUGAAAUGCGUAGAUAUCACGAAGAACUCCGAUUGCGAAGGCAGCUUACUAAACUGCCACUGACAUUGAUGCUCGAAAGUGUGGGUAUCAAACAGGAUUAGAUACCCCAGUAGUC